Molecule: unclassified non-coding RNA, 168 nt
Filed under: soil metagenome
Description: partial contains 5.8S ribosomal RNA, internal transcribed spacer 2, and large subunit ribosomal RNA
Source: RNAcentral
AACUGAUACUACCUGCGGGAACCUGCGGAGGGAUCAUUAGUGAACGCCCUCACGGGCUUAUAACUAUUCCAAACCUCUGUGAACCGUGCCCUUCGGGGCUAUUUUACAAACAUGGCGUAAUGAACGUCAUAUAUCAUAACAAAACAAAACUUUCAACAAUGGAUCUCU